CUGAACCAGCCAAGUAGCGUGAAGGAUGAUUGUCCUAUGGGUUGUAAACUUCUUUUAUAAAGGAAUAAAGUCGGGUAUGUAUACCCGUUUGCAUGUACUUUAUGAAUAAGGAUCGGCUAACUCCGUGCCAGCAGCCGCGGUAAUACGGAGGAUCCGAGCGUUAUCCGGAUUUAUUGGGUUUAAAGGGAGCGUAGAUGGAUGUUUAAGUCAGUUGUGAAAGUUUGCGG
Molecule: ribosomal RNA, 227 nt
Filed under: uncultured bacterium
Lineage: Bacteria
Description: partial 16S ribosomal RNA
Rfam family: Bacterial small subunit ribosomal RNA
Source: RNAcentral